GGUUAAGCGACUAAGCGUACACGGUGGAUGCCCUGGCAGUCAGAGGCGAUGAAGGACGUGCUAAUCUGCGAUAAGCGUCGGUAAGGUGAUAUGAACCGUUAUAACCGGCGAUUUCCGAAUGGGGAAACCCAGUGUGAUUCGUCACACUAUCAUUAACUGAAUCCAUAGGUUAAUGAGGCGAACCGGGGGAACUGAAACAUCUAAGUACCCCGAGGAAAAGAAAUCAACCGAGAUUCCCCCAGUAGCGGCGAGCGAACGGGGAGCAGCCCAGAGCCUGAAUCAGUGUGUGUGUUAGUGGAAGCGUCUGGAAAGGCGCGCGAUACAGGGUGACAGCCCCGUACACAAAAAUGCACAUGCUGUGAGCUCGAUGAGUAGGGCGGGACACGUGGUAUCCUGUCUGAAUAUGGGGGGACCAUCCUCCAAGGCUAAAUACUCCUGACUGACCGAUAGUGAACCAGUACCGUGAGGGAAAGGCGAAAAGAACCCCGGCGAGGGGAGUGAAAAAGAACCUGAAACCGUGUACGUACAAGCAGUGGGAGCACGCUUAGGCGUGUGACUGCGUACCUUUUGUAUAAUGGGUCAGCGACUUAUAUUCUGUAGCAAGGUUAACCGAAUAGGGGAGCCGAAGGGAAACCGAGUCUUAACUGGGCGUUAAGUUGCAGGGUAUAGACCCGAAACCCGGUGAUCUAGCCAUGGGCAGGUUGAAGGUUGGGUAACACUAACUGGAGGACCGAACCGACUAAUGUUGAAAAAUUAGCGGAUGACUUGUGGCUGGGGGUGAAAGGCCAAUCAAACCGGGAGAUAGCUGGUUCUCCCCGAAAGCUAUUUAGGUAGCGCCUCGUGAAUUCAUCUCCGGGGGUAGAGCACUGUUUCGGCAAGGGGGUCAUCCCGACUUACCAACCCGAUGCAAACUGCGAAUACCGGAGAAUGUUAUCACGGGAGACACACGGCGGGUGCUAACGUCCGUCGUGAAGAGGGAAACAACCCAGACCGCCAGCUAAGGUCCCAAAGUCAUGGUUAAGUGGGAAACGAUGUGGGAAGGCCCAGACAGCCAGGAUGUUGGCUUAGAAGCAGCCAUCAUUUAAAGAAAGCGUAAUAGCUCACUGGUCGAGUCGGCCUGCGCGGAAGAUGUAACGGGGCUAAACCAUGCACCGAAGCUGCGGCAGCGACGCUGAUGCGUUGUUGGGUAGGGGAGCGUUCUGUAAGCCUGUGAAGGUGUGCUGUGAGGCAUGCUGGAGGUAUCAGAAGUGCGAAUGCUGACAUAAGUAACGAUAAAAAGGGUGUGAAAAGCCCGCCGCUCGCCGGAAGACCAAGGGUUCCUGUCCAACGUUAAUCGGGGCAGGGUGAGUCGACCCCUAAGGCGAGGCCGAAAGGCGUAGUCGAUGGGAAACAGGUUAAUAUUCCUGUACUUGGUGUUACUGCGAAGGGGGGACGGAGAAGGCUAUGUUGGCCGGGCGACGGUUGUCCCGGUUUAAGCGUGUAGGCUGGUUUUCCAGGCAAAUCCGGAAAAUCAAGGCUGAGGCGUGAUGACGAGGCACUACGGUGCUGAAGCAACAAAUGCCCUGCUUCCAGGAAAAGCCUCUAAGCAUCAGGUAACAUCAAAUCGUACCCCAAACCGACACAGGUGGUCAGGUAGAGAAUACCAAGGCGCUUGAGAGAACUCGGGUGAAGGAACUAGGCAAAAUGGUGCCGUAACUUCGGGAGAAGGCACGCUGAUAUGUAGGUGAAGCGACUUGCUCGUGGAGCUGAAAUCAGUCGAAGAUACCAGCUGGCUGCAACUGUUUAUUAAAAACACAGCACUGUGCAAACACGAAAGUGGACGUAUACGGUGUGACGCCUGCCCGGUGCCGGAAGGUUAAUUGAUGGGGUUAGCGCAAGCGAAGCUCUUGAUCGAAGCCCCGGUAAACGGCGGCCGUAACUAUAACGGUCCUAAGGUAGCGAAAUUCCUUGUCGGGUAAGUUCCGACCUGCACGAAUGGCGUAAUGAUGGCCAGGCUGUCUCCACCCGAGACUCAGUGAAAUUGAACUCGCUGUGAAGAUGCAGUGUACCCGCGGCAAGACGGAAAGACCCCGUGAACCUUUACUAUAGCUUGACACUGAACAUUGAGCCUUGAUGUGUAGGAUAGGUGGGAGGCUUUGAAGUGUGGACGCCAGUCUGCAUGGAGCCGACCUUGAAAUACCACCCUUUAAUGUUUGAUGUUCUAACGUUGACCCGUAAUCCGGGUUGCGGACAGUGUCUGGUGGGUAGUUUGACUGGGGCGGUCUCCUCCUAAAGAGUAACGGAGGAGCACGAAGGUUGGCUAAUCCUGGUCGGACAUCAGGAGGUUAGUGCAAUGGCAUAAGCCAGCUUGACUGCGAGCGUGACGGCGCGAGCAGGUGCGAAAGCAGGUCAUAGUGAUCCGGUGGUUCUGAAUGGAAGGGCCAUCGCUCAACGGAUAAAAGGUACUCCGGGGAUAACAGGCUGAUACCGCCCAAGAGUUCAUAUCGACGGCGGUGUUUGGCACCUCGAUGUCGGCUCAUCACAUCCUGGGGCUGAAGUAGGUCCCAAGGGUAUGGCUGUUCGCCAUUUAAAGUGGUACGCGAGCUGGGUUUAGAACGUCGUGAGACAGUUCGGUCCCUAUCUGCCGUGGGCGCUGGAGAAUUGAGGGGGGCUGCUCCUAGUACGAGAGGACCGGAGUGGACGCAUCACUGGUGUUCGGGUUGUCAUGCCAAUGGCACUGCCCGGUAGCUAAAUGCGGAAGAGAUAAGUGCUGAAAGCAUCUAAGCACGAAACUUGCCCCGAGAUGAGUUCUCCCUGACUCCUUGAGAGUCCUGAAGGAACGUUGAAGACGACGACGUUGAUAGGCCGGGUGUGUAAGCGCAGCGAUGCGUUGAGCUAACCGGUACUAAUGAACCGUGAGGCUUAACCUU
RNAcentral lists this ribosomal RNA (2909 nucleotides) under Escherichia coli. RNAcentral's name for it is "23S ribosomal RNA". It matches the Rfam family "Bacterial large subunit ribosomal RNA". The record is from RNAcentral. Lineage: Bacteria; Pseudomonadati; Pseudomonadota; Gammaproteobacteria; Enterobacterales; Enterobacteriaceae.